RNAcentral lists this long non-coding RNA (1119 nucleotides) under Coturnix japonica (Japanese quail). RNAcentral describes it as "lncRNA (ENSCJPG00005016447.1)". The record is from RNAcentral. Lineage: Eukaryota; Metazoa; Chordata; Aves; Galliformes; Phasianidae.
GAACGCAUUUAGAUCAAACUCACUGUGCCUUAUAAGCAGACAGAAAAUCUACAAACUGUCAAAUGUUUAGUUUGUUCUUAGCAUUCUUAGAUGUUGUACAUUUUGCAAAAUCAUUCUGAGAAAGGAUAUUAGCCUAUUAAAAAUAAGAAAACAGAAAAACAAGGCUUUAGCAUCAUACCAAGAGAUGUGUGGCUUCUAGUUAACUGUGGAAGAUGCAAUCAAUAGAAAAGGCAGGAAAGGAAAGAAAGAGCAUCCGCAGCAGAGAUUUCCUGGAAUGAAAAAUGUGCCUGGAUUGUUACUUUAUUGAAUUUUGCUACUGUAGGACAUACUAAAGGACAAAUCAACUCUCAAGCAUCUAUCCGAAAUAUAUGAGAUAUUUCUUGAGCUGUUUUAUCUACUCAUUUAAGGAUUACAUGGGAAAAAAGAAAAACAAAAAAAAACUGGGCCACUAUACCUGGAGACAUGAGCAAGAACUGGAAUUCAGAACUGAUCAGAUAUUGCAUUUGGAAACCGCAGCAUACCUUCUUACUUCAUGUUGGAGAUGUGUCCAAACACGCUCACUUGUUUAUCUAGGAAUAUAAUCUUUAUUAGUUCUUCAAACUCUCUCCAGUGAAUUUAGUUGCUGAUAUCAAAGCAGAGUACAAGUCAAAAACUUAUGUAUAAAACCUGAUAAACAAGUUAAACUAUUUGUAAACUUCUGAUGUACACUUUUGACAUUGUAAUUUGCUAUUUCAGUCACUAUCUUUUUGUCUAGCCUCUCUUCCAAACCAGCCAGCCUGAAUAUUCGGAACUGUCCAAGGACUCAUUUUAUCCUACAAAUGUUUAUGCAAAUGUGUUCUAUUCAAGUUAACGUAUUAUAUAAACUGAGUUUUAUUCUCAAGCUUAGCAUUUCAUUUUAUCAGGCUGUCAUUAAAAAUAGCAAGUUGCAAAUUAGCAGUGCUAGCUGACUCUCUUUAAUCAAUUUCCUUAGCAAUUGUGAGGCUCAGAAUUACCUUCAGAAGCGUUUAAUAAUGCCAGUGUUACAUUUAUAUGGCAUCUCAGGACAAAGGAGUUAAUCAUGACACAGAAUCUAAACCGCAGAUUGACAGAAAUAAAUCAGAUGAGGGAGAAGAAUUCCCA